RNAcentral lists this ribosomal RNA (1405 nucleotides) under uncultured bacterium. RNAcentral's name for it is "16S ribosomal RNA". It matches the Rfam family "Bacterial small subunit ribosomal RNA". The record is from RNAcentral.
UUCGCCCUUAGAGUUUGAUCCUGGCUCAGGACGAACGCUGGCGGCGUGCCUAAUACAUGCAAGUCGAACGGAGAUAUUCGCUGAUGAAGUACUUCGGUAAUGAAUCUUGGAUAUCUUAGUGGCGGACGGGUGAGUAACGCGUGAGCAACCUGCCUUUCAGAGGGGGAUAACGUUUGGAAACGAACGCUAAUACCGCAUGACAUUAUCUUAUCGCAUGGUAGGAUAAUCAAAGGAGCAAUCCGCUGAAAGAUGGGCUCGCGUCCGAUUAGGUAGUUGGUGGGGUAACGGCCCACCAAGCCGACGAUCGGUAGCCGGACUGAGAGGUUGGACGGCCACAUUGGGACUGAGACACGGCCCAGACUCCUACGGGAGGCAGCAGUAAGGGAUAUUGGUCAAUGGGGGAAACCCUGAACCAGCAACGCCGCGUGAGGGAAGACGGUUUUCGGAUUGUAAACCUCUGUCCUCUGUGAAGAUGAUGACGGUAGCAGAGGAGGAAGCUCCGGCUAACUACGUGCCAGCAGCCGCGGUAAUACGUAGGGAGCGAGCGUUGUCCGGAUUUACUGGGUGUAAAGGGUGCGUAGGCGGCUUGGCAAGUCAGUAGUGAAAUCCAUGGGCUUAACCCAUGAACUGCUAUUGAAACUGUCGAGCUUGAGUGAAGUAGAGGUAGGCGGAAUUCCCGGUGUAGCGGUGAAAUGCGUAGAGAUCGGGAGGAACACCAGUGGCGAAGGCGGCCUACUGGGCUUUAACUGACGCUGAGGCACGAAAGCGUGGGUAGCAAACAGGAUUAGAUACCCUGGUAGUCCACGCUGUAAACGAUGAUUACUAGGUGUGGGUGGACUGACCCCAUCCGUGCCGGAGUUAACACAAUAAGUAAUCCACCUGGGGAGUACGGCCGCAAGGCUGAAACUCAAAGGAAUUGACGGGGACCCGCACAAGCGGUGGAGCAUGUGGUUUAAUUUGAAGCAACGCGGAGAACCUUACCAAGUCUUGACAUCCUGUUGACCGUCCCUUAGCCGGGACUUUCCUUCGGGACAGCAGAGACAGGUGGUGCAUGGUUGUCGUCAGCUCGUGUCGUGAGAUGUUGGGUUAAGUCCCGCAACGAGCGCAACCCUUAUCCUUAGUAGCCAGCAAUACGGAUGGGAACUCUAGGGAGACUGCCGGAGACAAUCCGGAGGAAGGUGGGGAUGACGUCAAAUCAUCAUGCCCCUUAUGACUUGGGCUACACACGUGCUACAAUGGUGGUAACAAAGUGAAGCGACCCCGUGAGGGUAAGCCAACCACAGAAAAGCCAUCUCAGUUCGGAUUGUAGUCUGCAACUCGACUACAUGAAGCUGGAAUCGCUAGUAAUCGCAGAUCAGAAUGCUGCGGUGAAUACGUUCCCGGGUCUUGCACACACCGCCCGUCA